UGGUGCAGGUGAUGCAUUUAUUGGAGCAGUUCUGUAUGCUCUCUGUGCCAAUAUGCCACCAGAAAGAAUGUUGUCAUUUGCUUCUCAAGUGGCAGCUAUCGGGUGUAGGGCAUUGGGAGCAAGAGCUGGUCUUCCCCAACUAACAGACCCUCGAUUGAAACCCUUUUUAUUGAACGAUCCCCAAAAUGUGGCCACAUUGCUAUAGAAGAGAACA
Long non-coding RNA from Solanum stenotomum, 214 nucleotides. RefSeq lists it as uncharacterized. Lineage: Eukaryota; Viridiplantae; Streptophyta; Magnoliopsida; Solanales; Solanaceae. The record is from RefSeq and is a predicted model, not a curated record. The transcript has 3 exons.